AGAGUUUGAUCCUGGCUCAGAACGAACGCUGGCGGCGUGGAUUAGGCAUGCAAGUCGAACGAGAAAGGUCUCUUCGGAGACUGAGUAGAGUGGCAAACGGGUGAGUAACGCGUGGGGAACCUGCCUUUCGGUUGGGAAUAACACUUCUAACGAGGUGCUAAUACCGAAUACGAUCGGUCUGUCGCAUGGCGGACCGAUGAAGGGCGACCUCUGAUUCAAGUUGUCGUCGAAAGAUGGUCCCGCGUCCCAUUAGCUAGUUGGUGAGGUAACGGCCCACCAAGGCUCUGAUGGGUAGCCGGCCUUAGCGGGUGUCCGGCCACACUGGGACUGAGAUACGGCCCAGACUCCUACGGGAGGCAGCAGUCGAGAGGCUUACACAAUGGGGGAAACCCUGAUGUAGCGACGCCGCGUGGGUGAUGAAGGUUUUCGGAUCGUAAAACCCUUUCAGCAGGGAAGAAUGAAUCCGGUGCUAAUACCACCGGAUUAGAGACGGUACCUGUAGAAGAAGCUCCGGCUAACUCCGUGCCAGCAGCCGCGGUAAGACGGGGGGAGCAAGCGUUGUUCGGAUUUACUGGGCGUAAAGGGCGUAUAGGCGGGCUGGCAAGUCAGGUGUGAAAUCCCCCGGCUCAACCGGGGACCUGCACUUGAUACUGCUGGUCUUGAGUACGGAAGAGGGAAGCGGAAUUCCUGGUGUAGCGGUGAAAUGCGUAGAUAUCAGGAAGAACACCAGUGGCGAAGGCGGCUUCCUGGUCCGAUACUGACGCUAAGCGCGAAAGUGUGGGGAGCAAACAGGAUUAGAUACCCUGGUAGUC
This 812-nucleotide ribosomal RNA is filed under the name uncultured bacterium. RNAcentral's name for it is "bacterial SSU rRNA". It matches the Rfam family "Bacterial small subunit ribosomal RNA", at positions 8 to 795 of the family's 1533-position model. The record is from RNAcentral.